RNAcentral lists this ribosomal RNA (983 nucleotides) under Salmonella enterica. RNAcentral's name for it is "bacterial LSU rRNA". It matches the Rfam family "Bacterial large subunit ribosomal RNA", at positions 679 to 1576 of the family's 2925-position model. Lineage: Bacteria; Pseudomonadati; Pseudomonadota; Gammaproteobacteria; Enterobacterales; Enterobacteriaceae. The record is from RNAcentral.
GAGUCUUAACCGGGCGUUAAGUUGCAGGGUAUAGACCCGAAACCCGGUGAUCUAGCCAUGGGCAGGUUGAAGGUUGGGUAACACUAACUGGAGGACCGAACCGACUAAUGUUGAAAAAUUAGCGGAUGACCUGUGGCUGGGGGUGAAAGGCCAAUCAAACCGGGAGAUAGCUGGUUCUCCCCGAAAGCUAUUUAGGUAGCGCCUCGUGAAUUCAUCUCCGGGGGUAGAGCACUGUUUCGGCUAGGGGGCCAUCCCGGCUUACCAACCCGAUGCAAACUGCGAAUACCGGAGAAUGUUAUCACGGGAGACACACGGCGGGUGCUAACGUCCGUCGUGAAGAGGGAAACAACCCAGACCGCCAGCUAAGGUCCCAAAGUCAUGGUUAAGUGGGAAACGAUGUGGGAAGGCCCAGACAGCCAGGAUGUUGGCUUAGAAGCAGCCAUCAUUUAAAGAAAGCGUAAUAGCUCACUGGUCGAGUCGGCCUGCGCGGAAGAUGUAACGGGGCUAAACCAUGCACCGAAGCUGCGGCAGCGAACGUAUCACCCAAGACAACUUUACGGAGUUGACGAUUGACGGAGCGAAGCGACGUCAAAGCGUUCAUUAAAGUCGAGUUGGCUUAGGGAUACGUUCGUUGGGUAGGGGAGCGUUCUGUAAGCCUGUGAAGGUGUGUCGUGAGGCAUGCUGGAGGUAUCAGAAGUGCGAAUGCUGACAUAAGUAACGAUAAAGCGGGUGAAAAGCCCGCUCGCCGGAAGACCAAGGGUUCCUGUCCAACGUUAAUCGGGGCAGGGUGAGUCGACCCCUAAGGCGAGGCCGAAAGGCGUAGUCGAUGGGAAACGGGUUAAUAUUCCCGUACUUGGUGUUACUGCGAAGGGGGGACGGAGAAGGCUAUGUUGGCCGGGCGACGGUUGUCCCGGUUUAAGCGUGUAGGUGUGUGUUCCAGGUAAAUCCGGUUCACUUUAACACUGAGGCGUGACGACGAGGCA